UGCAUCGGCUGGGAAUCGAACCCGGGGCGCAUGCAUGGCAGGCGAGCAUUCUACCACUGAACCACCGAUGC
RNAcentral lists this transfer RNA (71 nucleotides) under Cordylochernes scorpioides. RNAcentral describes it as "tRNA-Gly". Lineage: Eukaryota; Metazoa; Arthropoda; Arachnida; Pseudoscorpiones; Chernetidae. The record is from RNAcentral.